AGUGAACGCUGGCGGCAGGCCUAACACAUGCAAGUCGAACGGCAGCACCGGAAGUGCCUGCUGUUACGGGGGGCCAGUCGCGGCCGGGGGAGGAAUACACCGGAAUUUACCUUUCCGUGAGUGUUAACGAAGGGAGACUAACGCUAACAACGCCCACGACGUACGGGUGGAAGCAGGCGAUCUUCGGACCUUGCGCGAUUGAAUGAGGCGAUGACGGAUUAGCUUGUUGGCGGGGUAAAGGCCCACGAAGGCGACGAUCCGUAGCUGGGCUGAGAGGGUGAUGAGGCACACUCGAACUGAGACACGGUUCCGACUCCUACGGGAAGGAGCAGUGGGGAAUAUUGGACAAUGGGCGCAAGCCCAAUCCUGCCGUACCGCCUGGGUGAGGGAGGCCUUCGGGUUGUGAAGGCCUUUUGUUGGGAAAGAAAAGGAGCAGGUCUAUUCCCCGGGGUUGUGACGGUACCCGAAGAAUAAGCACCGGCUAACUUCGUG
This 492-nucleotide ribosomal RNA is filed under the name uncultured bacterium. RNAcentral describes it as "partial 16S ribosomal RNA". It matches the Rfam family "Bacterial small subunit ribosomal RNA", at positions 30 to 507 of the family's 1533-position model. The record is from RNAcentral.